CCUACGGGUGGCAGCAGUGAGGAAUAUUGGGCAAUGGAGGAAACUCUGACCCAGCCAUGCCGCGUGAGUGAAGAAGGUUUUCGAAUUGUAAAGCUCUUUCGGAUGUGAAGAUGAUGACGGUAACAUCUAAAGAAGCCCCGGCAAACUUCGUGCCAGCAGCCGCGGUAAUACGAAGGGGGCAAGCGUUGUUCGGAAUUACUGGGCGUAAAGGGUGUGUAGGCGGGAAAGUAAGUUGGCGGUGUAAUUCCGGGGCUCAACCUCGGCGCUACCGCCAAAACUAUUAGACUAGAGUGCAGGAGGGGUAAGUGGAAUUCCUAGUGUAGCGGUGGAAUGCGUAGAUAUUAGGAGGAACAUCAGGGGCGAAGGCGACUUACUGGACUGUAACUGACACUGAGGCACGAAAGCGUGGGGAGCAAACAGGAUUAGAUACCCCAGUAGUC
RNAcentral lists this ribosomal RNA (440 nucleotides) under uncultured bacterium. Its description in RNAcentral is "partial 16S ribosomal RNA". It matches the Rfam family "Bacterial small subunit ribosomal RNA", at positions 338 to 795 of the family's 1533-position model. The record is from RNAcentral.